RNAcentral lists this ribosomal RNA (497 nucleotides) under uncultured bacterium. Its description in RNAcentral is "partial 16S ribosomal RNA". It matches the Rfam family "Bacterial small subunit ribosomal RNA", at positions 28 to 507 of the family's 1533-position model. The record is from RNAcentral.
GAUGAACGCUGGCGGCGUGCCUAAUACAUGCAAGUCGAGCGAACGGACGAGAAGCUUGCUUCUCUGAUGUUAGCGGCGGACGGGUGAGUAACACGUGGAUAACCUACCUAUAAGACUGGGAUAACUUCGGGAAACCGGAGCUAAUACCGGAUAAUAUUUUGAACCGCAUGGUUCAAAAGUGAAAGACGGUCUUGCUGUCACUUAUAGAUGGAUCCGCGCUGCAUUAGCUAGUUGGUAAGGUAACGGCUUACCAAGGCAACGAUGCAUAGCCGACCUGAGAGGGUGAUCGGCCACACUGGAACUGAGACACGGUCCAGACUCCUACGGGAGGCAGCAGUAGGGAAUCUUCCGCAAUGGGCGAAAGCCUGACGGAGCAACGCCGCGUGAGUGAUGAGGGUCUUCGGAUCGUAAAACUCUGUUAUUAGGGAAGAACAUAUGUGCAAGUAACUGUGCACAUCUUGACGGUACCUAAUCAGAAAGCCACGGCUAACUACGUG